AACUUUUAAACAUGCAAGUCGAGCGGUAACAGACAUAAAGAUUCAGCUUGCUGAAUCCGGUGCUGACGAGCGGCGAACGGGUGAGUAACGCGUAGGAAUCUACCCAGUAGCGGGGGAUAGCCCGAGGAAACUCGGAUUAAUACCGCAUACGCCCUGAGGGGGAAAGGGGGCAAUUUAUUGCUCUCACUAUUGGAUGAGCCUGCGUAAGAUUAGCUUGUUGGUAGGGUAAUGGCCUACCAAGGCGACGAUCUUUAGCUGGUCUGAGAGGACGAUCAGCCACAUUGGGACUGAGACACGGCCCAGACAUCUACGGAUGGCAGCAGUUAAGAAUAUUGGACAAUGGGGGCAACCCUGAUCCAGGUAUACCGCGUGUGUGAAGAAGGCCCUAGGGUUGUAAAGCACUUUAAUCAGAGAAGAAGCAUUUUAAGUUAAUACCUUAAUUUGUUGACGUUAACUGAAGAAUAAGGACCG
Molecule: ribosomal RNA, 471 nt
Filed under: uncultured Psychrobacter sp.
Lineage: Bacteria; Pseudomonadati; Pseudomonadota; Gammaproteobacteria; Moraxellales; Moraxellaceae
Description: bacterial SSU rRNA
Rfam family: Bacterial small subunit ribosomal RNA
Source: RNAcentral